This 290-nucleotide long non-coding RNA is filed under the name Solanum tuberosum (potato). RNAcentral describes it as "long non-coding RNA (STUB_LNC008919)". The record is from RNAcentral. Lineage: Eukaryota; Viridiplantae; Streptophyta; Magnoliopsida; Solanales; Solanaceae.
UUCCGACUAAUGAUUUGCUAUAAAGCCGAUGGAAAAUGGUUCCGAAUAGUGAUUUUCUAUAAACUCUCUUUCUCUGUCUUAUGAGUUCGAGGCUUGUCAAGGAAUUGAAGAGGUAGCAGCUUGUCACUUCGGCGGGCCCUCUAUCUUCCUUUUCCUUUUACUUUGUUCUAUUUGAGAAACAAAGAUUGAGACUUGUACUUAUUUCAUAAUUUCGUACCUUAUGUAUUUAGUGGCUUGUAAACGUGACAACCAGGUUUUGGGGUAUUGUUUAGAAUGAAUAAGUUCUCGAC